AGCGGCAAGUUAGGUAGUAAUACUUGACCUAGAGCGGCGCACGGGUGCGUAACGCGUAUGCAACCUACCUUUUACUGGGGGAUAGCCCGGAGAAAUCUGGAUUAAUACCCCAUGGUACCUACGAAUCGAUUGGUUUGUAGUUUAAAGAUUUAUCGGUAAAAGAUGGGCAUGCGUCUGAUUAGCUAGUUGGCGGGGUAACGGCCCACCAAGGCGACGAUCAGUAGGGGUUCUGAGAGGAAGGUCCCCCACACUGGCACUGAAAUACGGGCCAGACUCCUACGGGAGGCAGCAGUAGGGAAUAUUGGGCAAUGGUCGCAAGACUGACCCAGCCAUGCCGCGUGCAGGAAGACGGCCCUCUGGGUUGUAAACUGCUUUUAUCUGGGAAGAAAAAGUCCAUGCGUGGAAAAUUGCCGGUACCAGAUGAAUAAGCACCGGCUAACUCCGUGCCAGCAGCCGCGGUAAUACGGAGGGUGCAAGCGUUGUCCGGAUUUAUUGGGUUUAAAGGGUGCGUAGGCGGCUGAAUAAGUCAGCGGUGAAAGACUUCGGCUUAACCGGAGCAGUGCCGUUGAUACUGUUUAGCUUGAGUGUUGGAGGGGUACAUGGAAUUGAUGGUGUAGCGGUGAAAUGCAUAGAUACCAUCAGGAACACCGAUAGCGAAGGCAUUGUACUGGCCAACAACUGACGCUGAGGCACGAAAGUGUGGGGAUCGAACAGGAUUAGAUACCCUGGUAGUCCACACUGUAAACGAUGAUUACUCGCUGUUAUGCUGUAUAGU
This 775-nucleotide ribosomal RNA is filed under the name uncultured Bacteroidota bacterium. RNAcentral's name for it is "bacterial SSU rRNA". It matches the Rfam family "Bacterial small subunit ribosomal RNA", at positions 65 to 836 of the family's 1533-position model. Lineage: Bacteria; Pseudomonadati; Bacteroidota. The record is from RNAcentral.